RNAcentral lists this small nucleolar RNA (107 nucleotides) under Gossypium hirsutum (cotton). RNAcentral describes it as "Plant small nucleolar RNA R71". It matches the Rfam family "Plant small nucleolar RNA R71". Rfam says of the family: R71 is a member of the C/D box family of snoRNAs containing the C (UGAUGA) and D (CUGA) box motifs. Lineage: Eukaryota; Viridiplantae; Streptophyta; Magnoliopsida; Malvales; Malvaceae. RNAcentral also lists the same sequence under 1 other name. The record is from Rfam by way of RNAcentral.
AUACCAUGAUAAGGAUACUUACGAAGCAAUUCCUUGAAUCUUUCACACACCUCAUAUAAAGACUCGUCAUCCAAUUGUUGGAAAGUAGUUAUCUCAUUACGAAACUU